RNAcentral lists this ribosomal RNA (1062 nucleotides) under Triticum aestivum (bread wheat). RNAcentral's name for it is "partial small subunit ribosomal RNA". Lineage: Eukaryota; Viridiplantae; Streptophyta; Magnoliopsida; Poales; Poaceae. The record is from RNAcentral.
AUGAAUAUUGCCGUUCUCUCCCGUUGGCUCUGGCGCAUCGCCCAGGGUCAAGGUGGCCUCUGGCUCGACAUUAUCCGGAAUAAAUACCUGCGGGGUCAGCCCCUAGCCUUCUGCCAGAAAUCGGGCGGCUCUCAGUUCUGGGAGUCUAUUGUCUAGCUUCUCCCGGUGCUCCGCAUUGGGACCUCCAUCUCGGAGGGAUCCAGCCUCUCGACGCUUUUCUGGUUUGAUCAUUGGGCCGGAGACUCUCCCUUUGCGGCCCGCUUCCCCGCCCUCUUCUCUAUCUCCGUCGACCCCACGAUUUCGGUCAAUAGGGCCCUUCUUGACUUAGGGCGCCUUGCUUUCCGUCGGCCUUUUGGGCCGGCGGAAUCCGCCGCCUGGCGUGAGUUGCUUGAUUGCGUUGUGUUGCAUGAGCCAUUGGUGGAUGGCAGACCGGACCUUGUGCGGUGGCGUCUGGAUCCGUCGGGCUUGUUCUCCACCAAGUCGCUAUACCCGGCCAUUGCCCCAUCCUCCGUUCCCCUCCCCCUAUCGAUGGUGUGGUCCGUCCGCGUUCCCCUGAAGAUCCGCAUAUUCAUGUGGCAGUGGAUUCGCGGCCGGGUCCCGUCUGGAGUGGAGGUCUGCAAGCGCAAUGGCCCGGGCACCGGUAUCUGCCCGCUCUGUGGAGUCCCUGAAGACUCGAACCAUAUCUUCUUCUCCCGCGUCUCCGCCCAGUUCCUCUGGAGCUGCUUUCGCGAGGUGGUCAGUGGUAGUUGGUGCCACACCAAUUUCCCGGACCUUUUUGCUGAACUCCAGUUGUCCCACGCGUCCUCUCGCCACAUUAGGUGGCUUGAGGUUGGCGUUCUCGCCUGGACUCUUUGGACCGUUCGCAAUAAGCUUGUGAUUCAGCACGCUCCCCUUCGUCGCGCUACUGACGCUCUCUACAAAUUCUCGGGUUUCUUGCAGCUUUGGCGGCCGCUUAGCCGCCCCCCGGACCGUGACGCCAUCUCCGCCUUCAUCGCCGACAUCCGUUCGAUGGCCGUCCGCCUGUCGCCGCCGCCCCCGCCGCCUCCGCCGGAUCCUGACUAG